CUUAGAAAUUAAAUUUGGGGAAACAUAAAUAUUUUAAUUAUUAAUUUAUUUUUUGGUCCACUCACUCUAAUGUUAUUAAAUGUUUUCCCCUGGGCCCUUCGUUUUAAAUUGCCCAGUCUGCAGAGUUCGGGUUGGAUCUAGUAGGAGACGAGGCAUAGUCACCCGUCUUUUCGGCCUAGUUUUCAUCAGUAGGUUACCUGUUCAACCUACUUGUGUUUUCUUGCUUCCGCUUGUGUUUAGUAGCUCUGAAUACUUUAGAAUUUUGUAUAUUAUGUGAUAUUCAGAAGCGUUAAAUUAAGAGUGUAAUAUGAAAUUUUCGAGUUAGGGUUGUCCAUCUGCAAGGGAGAUUUUCUUAAUCUUUUCAGUAAAUUUUCCUUGGAGGUGGUCCCCGCACGACUUACUCUGGGUUUCAGGGUGAAAUUCGGGGUGGGUCGUGUCAGUAGAUCACUUCAUUUAACGAUCUCAGUCGUUGAUCAUCUAGAUUCAUAUGCAAGAAACAUGUCUACAAAAUUUCAACUAAUUCCAUAAUCAUUUGGUCAUUCAAAUUGAUGUAAACAAUUGUAGGCCGUUAGAUAAAAUUAAAAAGAAUAUUGUGUUAAUCAAAUGGUUAAACGUUUUUCAUUUUGGCUAAUUUUUUGUAUGAUUCAUACGUGGGUAAGUAGUUAGGGAAUGAGUGGCUUUGAUUGUCAAAAUACAUGCUAUAACUAAAAACAUCCUUACUUUAAGAAUUUAAGGAGGUCUUCUCUAAAUCCAGACUCUCUAUGUAUAGGCCAUAUCAUGUAUCGAAUUUUGAAAAUAAAAUAAAAAAGAAAAAUCGCUAUCGAAUUUCUUUUGGAUGAUUACGUAUAUAUAUACUUUAUUUUGGACGAAUUAUAUAUUUAUAUAUAUGUAAAAAAAAAUUGGACGAAAUUGUUUUUUCUUGGACAAAUUAUAUAUGUAAAUAUAGAUUUAUAAGAAUUC
RNAcentral lists this long non-coding RNA (960 nucleotides) under Fragaria vesca (wild strawberry). Its description in RNAcentral is "long non-coding RNA (FVES_LNC004944)". Lineage: Eukaryota; Viridiplantae; Streptophyta; Magnoliopsida; Rosales; Rosaceae. The record is from RNAcentral.